UACCAGCACCCCGAGUGGUCGGGACGAUUAUUGGGCCUAAAGCAUCCGUAGCCGGUCAUGCAAGUCUUCCGUUAAAUCCAGCCGCUCAACGGUUGGGCUGCGGAGGAUACUACGUGGCUAGGAGGCGGGAGAGGCAAGCGGUACUCAGUGGGUAGGGGUAAAAUCCUUUGAUCCAUUGAAGACCACCAGUGGCGAAGGCGGCUUGCCAGAACGCGCUCGACGGUGAGGGAUGAAAGCUGGGGGAGCAAACGGG
RNAcentral lists this ribosomal RNA (253 nucleotides) under uncultured bacterium. Its description in RNAcentral is "partial 16S ribosomal RNA". It matches the Rfam family "Archaeal small subunit ribosomal RNA", at positions 474 to 727 of the family's 1478-position model. The record is from RNAcentral.